GAAGCGGUUAACCUCUCACAAGUGGUUGUUUUAGCGAUUAGAUCGCCUCGGGUGUGUGUGUGUGUGGUGUGUUCCGAUGACUUCGCACCACACCACCACCGUCCAGAACUAUUUCGCAGCGCGCUCUUGCCGCGAAAGAUUCAUUAUCUUGCUUAUCGCGAUUGCGGGGCGCUGACAUUGGCGCUGAUUGUGACAGUUUCGUUCGCUUACUGCUGCUGCCUACCGCGGUUGCGCGAUCCGGGUAAUGCGUGUUAUCGGGACUCCACUCUCUUGCGCAGCCCGAAACCCGAAACCGCAAAACCCGUGAAGGCUCUCCUUCUCGUGGUGGGUGCUCGAGGGGCCAGGACGAGGCCACGAUCACACAAUUGCACACACACGCACGUAAACUGCCCUUAUCGGUAGGGCAGCAAUAUAUAGUAAACAACUUCACCGUCACGGCAGCGCAGCCAAUCCCCACUCAGAGAGCCAUCAUCAUCACCAUCAUGACACACUAUCAUGUGGACAAAGUAGUACCAGAACGACGGCCAAAUCGGAACUUGUGUGAGAUACAAAUAAAGCAAGAAACCUAACAGGGUGCAUGUGUUGGACAAAAUGGGGUGGAAAAUGAUUGCUGCAGUGACAGAGGGACUCUGCUGGUACAUUCUCGGUUUUAACCACUGCCACAUUGUUUGCAGUUCAAAAGUACAUGAGCUAAAAGCCAUCUCCACAGAUGGCCAGAGAGCUGACCAACGAACGAACGAGAAGCUGUUGCAGUUUGCUUCGUUAUUGGAAAACUUUCUCGCUCGGUUAAUGUUGACAUUGAUGGUUACUGCAGCGUGUGGGAUGCCAUCGAUGAACAAAGAACGCACGUGUGUCUUGGAAUUCGAGAACAGUGGAUUUAUUUUAGUUAUUUUAUAAACAUUCCGGCCAUGCGUAUGACACCGAGCGACCGAGCGACGUAAGGUUCUUUAAGAACGCCCAACGAAAGACCGAGCGCGGACGUGGGAGGCUUGCCCCUUCGUCUGUCAAUAAUACCGUGGGAACAGGCGUUUUGGCAGAUGACGGGCAUGUCUGAUAAGGUAGUGGGUAAUAAAGUUUGUCGUAUUGGUUUUGAAUAUGCAUCGUUGGCAACAUUUUAAUAAAAAAAAAAUCAUAAUUGAUGUAAGAUCACAGAUCACACCGUCAUUCCAUUAUUCACAGACUAUGGAGCAUAUGAUACAACCAAGCCCCCUU
Anopheles coluzzii is the source of this 1212-nucleotide long non-coding RNA. RefSeq lists it as uncharacterized. The record is from RefSeq and is a predicted model, not a curated record. The transcript has 2 exons. NCBI's taxonomy places the organism in Eukaryota, Metazoa, Arthropoda, Insecta, Diptera, Culicidae.